CAAUAGCGUAUAUUUAAGUUGUUGCAGUUAAAAAGCUCGUAGUCGGAUUUUGGCUGAGAACGAUCGGUCCGCCGUUAGGUGUGCACUGAUUGGUCUCAGCUUCCUGGUGAGGAGGUGUGCUUCACGGCCACUUAGUCACCGUGGUUACUUUGAAAAAAUUAGAGUGUUCAAAGCGGGCUUACGCUUGAAUAUAUUAGCAUGGAAUAACACCAUAGGACUCCUGUCCUAUUUCGUUGGUCUCGGGACGGGAGUAAUGAUUAAGAGGAACAGUUGGGGGCAUUCGUAUUUCAUUGUCAGAGGUGAAAUUCUUGGAUUUAUGAAAGACGAACUUCUGCGAAAGCAUUUGCCAAGGAUGUCUUCAUUGA
This 365-nucleotide ribosomal RNA is filed under the name uncultured eukaryote. RNAcentral's name for it is "partial 18S ribosomal RNA". It matches the Rfam family "Eukaryotic small subunit ribosomal RNA", at positions 592 to 976 of the family's 1831-position model. The record is from RNAcentral.